GACCAGACUCCUACGGGAGGCAGCAGGGGGGAAUAUUGGACAAUGGGGGGAACCCUGAUGCAGCGACGCCGCGUGAGUGAAGAAGUAUUUCGGUAUGUAAAGCUCUAUCAGCAGGGAAGAAGUUGACGGUACCUGAGUAAGAAGCCCCGGCUAACUACGUGCCAGCAGCCGCGGUAAUACGUAGGGGGCAAGCGUUAUCCGGAUUUACUGGGUGUAAAGGGAGCGUAGACGGCAGGGCAAGUCUGAAGUGAAAGCCCGGGGCCCAACCCCGGGACUGCUUUGGAAACUGUCCGGCUGGAGUGCAGGAGGGGUGGGCGGAAUUCCUAGUGUAGCGGUGAAAUGCGUAGAUAUUAGGAGGAACACCGGCGGCGAAGGCGGCCCACUGGACUGUAACUGACGUUGAGGCUCGAAAGCGUGGGGAGCAAACAGGAUUAGAUACCCCAGUAU
This 447-nucleotide ribosomal RNA is filed under the name uncultured bacterium. RNAcentral describes it as "bacterial SSU rRNA". It matches the Rfam family "Bacterial small subunit ribosomal RNA", at positions 329 to 793 of the family's 1533-position model. The record is from RNAcentral.